AGCCCCUCCCCCUCGAGAAACGGUCGCGUUUGAGCUUUGCGUUCGCCGCGCGCUGUUCAGUCCGGUGAGUCACCGUUCGCGCUGGAAUAACGUACCGAGAGAAAAAGAGCGGCGGAUAAAGAACGGAAACCGGGGGAAAGAGCUGGAGCUGCGAGCAUGGCGGUCGAGGAGGAAGGUCUUCGCGUUUUCCAGAGUGUCAAAAUAAAAAUCGGUGAAGCCAAGAACAUUCCUCCCUAUCCGGGUCCGAAUAAGAUGCGGGAUUGUUACUGCACAGUCAACCUGGACCAGGAGGAAGUUUUCCGAACCAAAACCUUGGAGAAGUCCUUAUGUCCGUUCUACGGUGAGGACUUUUAUUGUGAAAUCCCGCGCAGUUUCCGUCAUCUGUCCUUCUACAUCUUUGACAGAGACGUGUUCAGGAGGGACUCCAGCAUUGGUAAAGUGGCUGUGAAGAAGGAAGACCUGCAAAAAUACCACGGUAAAGACCACUGGUUCCCGCUGCAGCCAGUGUGUGCAGACUCAGAGGUGCAGGGAAAGGUUCACCUGGAGCUGCGUCUCAGUGAGCUCAUCACAGACAGCGGAGUUGUCUGCCACAAGCUGGCCACACGGGUUCUGGAGUGUCAGGAUCUGCCGAUAGUGAAUAACCAGUGCGAUCCGUAUGCCGUCGUCUCAUUAUUCGGCCCCUCCAGGUCAGAAGCCAAGAAGACGAAGGUCAAACGGAAAAACAACAAUCCUCAGUUCGAUGAGGUCUUCUUUUUUGAGGUGACCAAACCUCCGAGCUACACCAAACGCCAGUUUGACGUGGAAGAAGACGACGUGGAUAAGCUCGGGCUCAAGGUGGAUCUGUGGAACGCCAGCAAUCUGAAGUUCGGAGAUGAGUUUCUGGGAGAGGUGCGGGUGCCACUGAAGAUGAUGGGACAGUCGGGGGUUCAUGACGCAUGGUACUUCCUACAGCCCAGAAAUAAUGGCAAUAAAUCAGUGAAGGCUGAUGAGUUGGGCUCGUUACGACUCAACAUCAUCUACACGGAGGACCAUGUGUUCCCCACGGAGCAUUAUAACCCACUCCGAGACCUGCUGCUGCAGUCAGCACACCUCCAGCCCGUCUCGGCGUCAGCAGCUCAUAUCUUGGGCGAGGUGUGUCGUGAGAAGCAGGAGGCGGCUGUUCCUUUGGUGCGACUUUUCCUGCACUACGGCAAAAUCGUGCCUUUCCUCAGCGCCAUCGCCCACGCCGAGAUCAGCCGCACGCAGGAUCCCAACACCAUAUUCCGGGGAAACUCGCUGACAUCCAAAUGCAUAGAUGAGACCAUGAAGCUGGCGGGGAUGCAUUACCUGCGCGUCACGCUCAAACCCAUCAUCGAUGAGAUCUGCACGGACCACAAACCCUGUGAGAUCGACCCGGUCAAGCUGAAGGAGUCCGAGAACUUGGACACCAAUAGGGAGAACCUGCAUCAGUACGUGGACCGGAUCUUUAAUGUGAUCACCAGCUCGGGUGUGAGCUGCCCGACGGUCAUGUGUGAUAUCUUCUUCUCGCUGAGAGAGUCUGCUGCGUCACGCUUCCAGGUUGACCCGGAUGUGCGGUACACAGCUGUCAGCAGUUUCAUCUUCCUCCGUUUCUUUGCUCCUGCCAUCCUCUCUCCGAACCUCUUCCACCUGCGUCCACAUCACCCGGAUCCGUACACGUCUCGGACGCUCACGCUUAUCUCCAAAACCAUCCAAACUCUGGGAAGCCUGGCCAAGUCCAAAUCUGCCAAUUUCAAAGAGUCCUACAUGGCUGCGUUCUACGACUUCUUCAACGAGCAGAAGUACGCUGAUGCAGUGAAGAAUUUCCUGGAUCUGAUCUCGUCCUCGGCCCGCUGGGAUCAGAAGAGCAUCGAGACGCCCAUCAUGCUGAAGGAAGGAUUCAUGAUCAAACGAGCUCAAGGGAGAAACCGCUUCGGUCUGAAGAACUUCAAGAAGAGAUGGUUCCGGCUGACCAACCACGAGUUCACCUACCACAAAACCAAAGGAGAAGGCCCUCUUUGCAGCAUCCCUAUUGAGAACAUCAUGGCUGUAGAGAGACUCGAGGAAGAGUCCUUCAAAAUGAAGAACAUGUUCCAGGUCAUCCAGCCAGAGAGGGCGCUCUACAUCCAGGCCAAUAACUGUGUGGAGGCGCGCGACUGGAUCGACAUCCUGACCAAAGUCAGUCAGUGUAACCGCAAGCGUCUGAGCACUUACCACCCGUCGGCGUUCCUCAACGGACACUGGCUCUGCUGCAAGCUGUGUGCGGACACGGCUCCGGGCUGCACGCCCUGCACGGGGGGACUUCCUGCCAACAUCCAGCUGGAUGUGGACGGAGACCGAGAGACGGAGCGGAUCUUCUCGCUCUACAGCACAUACAUGACCAAACUAGUCAAGAUGCAAGAGGCGUGUGGCAGUAAGUCUGUGUACGACGGUCCCGAGCAGGAGGAAUACUCCACGUUUGUGAUCGAUGACCCGCAGGAGACGUAUAAAACCCUGAGACUCGUCAUCUCAGCCGUGCAGACACUGGAGCAGCAGCACAUGCAGUACAAACGAGACAAGUUCAGGAAGACCAAGUACGGCAGCCAGGAACAUCCAAUCGGUGAUAAGAGCUUCCAGUGCUACAGCCGCCAGCAGUCAGAAAGCUCCACCUACUCCAUCUGACCACGCCCACUGCAGACACACGCCGUCUCCACGGCAACAGCCGCGUCUCAGACAGGAAGCUAGGCCUCUGGUGUUUUCAUACGGUUUUAACCAAUCAGCAGCCGCCAUGCAGAUCCGUGGACGAUGUAGCUCUGCCUCGCGGCACGGUUUGGCGUUUGCUGAUGUUUUCAAGCUCGGAGACGAGCAGACGUCCUCUAGCGGUGGAUGUUUUAUAAACUGAGCAUUGGACCACAGGACAGACUCCACAAUCGUUUGGUUGGUGGAUGUGAGAGCUCCGUCCACACACGUCCAGUAUUGAUGUCACGCCUGCAGAAGCAGCGCUGCAUUGUGGGAGAUGUGUGGUGUGGUGUCUUACAGCAUGCAGAUGUCCUCGUCCCAGACGUGUCCAGCAUGUGGCGUGACGCUGAUGGUUUGUGGGUCCAGUUGUGUUCAGAAUCACACUUGUGUUUUUAUACAUUGUCAUGUCACACAUCCUGUAAAUUCACUGAUAUCCUGCUCUGGUUACAGUGUGUGUGUGUGUGUGUGUGUGUGUGUGUGUGUGUGUGUGUGUGGCUCAUGAGUGUUUCAUUGAUUAAUUAUGAAUAAUAAUUCCCAGUUCAUCACAUCACACUUUACAGAGAUGUUUAAUAC
Carassius carassius (crucian carp) is the source of this 3288-nucleotide RNA transcript. It is a transcript of the gene named ras GTPase-activating protein 3-like, with no coding region annotated. The transcript is spliced from 24 exons. The record is from RefSeq and is a predicted model, not a curated record. NCBI's taxonomy places the organism in Eukaryota, Metazoa, Chordata, Actinopteri, Cypriniformes, Cyprinidae.